Molecule: long non-coding RNA, 684 nt
Filed under: Sorghum bicolor (sorghum)
Lineage: Eukaryota; Viridiplantae; Streptophyta; Magnoliopsida; Poales; Poaceae
Description: long non-coding RNA (SBIC_LNC004712)
Source: RNAcentral
ACUAUGAAGGAGAAGUUGUAAGGUCAGAAGACAUAGAGUUUAAACAGAAUUAUCCAGAGGAGAUCGUAGCACCGAGUCAGGUAUGGAAAGAGAAGAUAAUUAUACAUGAAGAGGAGGCGCUGCCGGAAGUACCGACUACGCCACCCAACGAAUCCCAGGACAAUUGAGAAAAUGAAGAGUCCCGUUCGGUGGACUUAAAAACACCGAACGCCUUGUCAAGAGGUAAACUUGGUAGUUAUCCUUUUCCUUUUAAUUAUUUUAAACAGUUUGCUUAGUUAAUCAUGUUCAUGCUAUCCUAAAAAGAAUAUAAAAAUGUGAAAAAAUAGUAGAGAAUACGAGUGGCAUGAAACCCAUAAUUACAUUCACUGUGGUGGCAUAAAAAUAAAAUAAAUAUUUUUCUACUUUAUAAAAUAAAAAUAUAAAAACAGGGAGUAAUAAUUAUUAAGGAGUCUCAACAUGAUAAAGGCUAGAUAUUUAUGCUAACACUUAAUCAGUUCCACAAGCUUUGUUGUCUAUUUGAGCUCCACAGAAUUUAAGAAUCAAGAAGACUAGCAGACGGAGGACAUUCUAAUCGCUGCCAGAAUGCUGCUGACUUUCAAAUACACCUCUGCCACCUGCUAGCUACAUCAAGAGAAAUUACGUCAAAAUUCAGCUUGGGGGAGAGCACCCCCAUUUAUCCCGCUA